UUCCGUACUGAUCAUUUGACUUGCCUUUUUCCAACUUGAAAUAGUUUUUUGUCUUUCUUUCCCACAGACUGCCAUUGCCAACAGUGGAGGGGACAAGGCAAUGGAAUUUGAUAAGAAUGAGGUGGUAACAAUGAACAACAGUUCAAUCACCCUCUAUAAAUGCCAAAAUCUGACAAUGAACUUCAUUUACAUUGAUGCUACACAGCAGAAGGCUGGAACUGAGUCUAAUGGUAAACAACCCCCAGUUAAGGAGAGAUGUUCCCAUUACAUUGUCACAGAGAUGAGGAAUGAGGUUGUGACAACUGCACCUUUGAAUUCAACUAUCAUCAAAGAUGGAGACAAUCCUGAUUCAAACCAUAGUGACACUGAUUUGAUCUGGCAAAUCAUUGGUGAGUGUUUAAGCAAAUCUAUCACCACAGCUUCCUCUGUAUGAGAAAAUAACAAGUAAAUCUGACCUCAAAAUGGUGCUACCAAGAUCAACUACUGUUAGAAGGUUAUUUUAAAACCUUUUCAUUUGUGUGAAUAUGUCAUCAUCUGAUGACUACAUUCUGUUUUUCAGUUGGUAUUGUUGUUGCUGUCGUGCUGGUCAUUGCUGUUCUGCUCUGUGUGUUUAAAGCUUGGAGAGACAAACAGUGGUGAGUAUCCUAUAUAACGGUUUUUGUGUUUGUGAAGGGAGCUCUUUAAGUCAAUUAGAAUUGUUG
This 701-nucleotide long non-coding RNA is filed under the name Salmo trutta (river trout). RNAcentral describes it as "lncRNA (ENSSTUG00000002690.1)". The record is from RNAcentral. Lineage: Eukaryota; Metazoa; Chordata; Actinopteri; Salmoniformes; Salmonidae.